AACCCCGGCGAGGGGAGUGAAAAAGAACCUGAAACCGUGUACGUACAAGCAGUGGGAGCCUCUUUUAUGGGGUGACUGCGUACCUUUUGUAUAAUGGGUCAGCGACUUAUAUUCUGUAGCAAGGUUAACCGAAUAGGGGAGCCGAAGGGAAACCGAGUCUUAACUGGGCGUUAAGUUGCAGGGUAUAGACCCGAAACCCGGUGAUCUAGCCAUGGGCAGGUUGAAGGUUGGGUAACACUAACUGGAGGACCGAACCGACUAAUGUUGAAAAAUUAGCGGAUGACUUGUGGCUGGGGGUGAAAGGCCAAUCAAACCGGGAGAUAGCUGGUUCUCCCCGAAAGCUAUUUAGGUAGCGCCUCGUGAAUUCAUCUCCGGGGGUAGAGCACUGUUUCGGCAAGGGGGUCAUCCCGACUUACCAACCCGAUGCAAACUGCGAAUACCGGAGAAUGUUAUCACGGGAGACACACGGCGGGUGCUAACGUCCGUCGUGAAGAGGGAAACAACCCAGACCGCCAGCUAAGGUCCCAAAGUCAUGGUUAAGUGGGAAACGAUGUGGGAAGGCCCAGACAGCCAGGAUGUUGGCUUAGAAGCAGCCAUCAUUUAAAGAAAGCGUAAUAGCUCACUGGUCGAGUCGGCCUGCGCGGAAGAUGUAACGGGGCUAAACCAUGCACCGAAGCUGCGGCAGCGACACUAUGUGUUGUUGGGUAGGGGAGCGUUCUGUAAGCCUGUGAAGGUGUACUGUGAGGUAUGCUGGAGGUAUCAGAAGUGCGAAUGCUGACAUAAGUAACGAUAAAGCGGGUGAAAAGCCCGCUCGCCGGAAGACCAAGGGUUCCUGUCCAACGUUAAUCGGGGCAGGGUGAGUCGACCCCUAAGGCGAGGCCGAAAGGCGUAGUCGAUGGGAAACAGGUUAAUAUUCCUGUACUUGGUGUUACUGCGAAGGGGGGACGGAGAAGGCUAUGUUGGCCGGGCGACGGUUGUCCCGGUUUAAGCGUGUAGGCUGG
Molecule: ribosomal RNA, 1001 nt
Filed under: Escherichia coli
Lineage: Bacteria; Pseudomonadati; Pseudomonadota; Gammaproteobacteria; Enterobacterales; Enterobacteriaceae
Description: partial 23S ribosomal RNA
Rfam family: Bacterial large subunit ribosomal RNA
Source: RNAcentral